This 574-nucleotide ribosomal RNA is filed under the name uncultured soil bacterium. RNAcentral's name for it is "bacterial SSU rRNA". It matches the Rfam family "Bacterial small subunit ribosomal RNA", at positions 910 to 1482 of the family's 1533-position model. The record is from RNAcentral.
CUGACGGGGGCCCGCACAAGCGGUGGAGCAUGUGGUUCAAUUCGACGCAACGCGAAGAACCUUACCUGGGCUUGAACUGGAGUGGAAGUAGGCAGAGAUGUCUAUGUCCUUUUCGGGACUGCUCUAGAGGUGCUGCAUGGCUGUCGCCAGCUCGUGUCGUGAGAUGUUGGGUUAAGUCCCGCAACGAGCGCAACCCUUGUCCUUAGUUGCUAACAGGUAAAGCUGAGAACCCUAAGGAAACUGUCGGCGAUAAGCCGGAGGAAGGUGGGGAUGACGUCAAGUCCUCAUGGCCUUUAUGUCCAGGGCUGCACACGUGCUACAAUGGGCGGUACAAAGGGUUGCAAACCCGCGAGGGGGAGCCAAUCCCAAAAAACCGUUCUCAGUUCGGAUUGCAGUCUGCAACUCGACUGCAUGAAGCUGGAAUCGCUAGUAAUCGCGGAUCAGCAUGCCGCGGUGAAUACGUUCCCGGGCCUUGUACACACCGCCCGUCACAUCAUGAAAGCUGGUUGUACUAGAAGUCGCCGUGCUAACCGCAAGGGGGCAGGUGCCCAAGGUAUGACUAGUGAUUAGGGUG